This 465-nucleotide ribosomal RNA is filed under the name Vreelandella stevensii. RNAcentral describes it as "partial 16S ribosomal RNA". It matches the Rfam family "Bacterial small subunit ribosomal RNA", at positions 338 to 795 of the family's 1533-position model. Lineage: Bacteria; Pseudomonadati; Pseudomonadota; Gammaproteobacteria; Oceanospirillales; Halomonadaceae. The record is from RNAcentral.
CCUACGGGAGGCAGCAGUGGGGAAUAUUGGACAAUGGGGGCAACCCUGAUCCAGCCAUGCCGCGUGUGUGAAGAAGGCCCUCGGGUUGUAAAGCACUUUCAGUGAGGAAGAACGCCUGGUGGUUAAUACCCAUCAGGAAAGACAUCACUCACAGAAGAAGCACCGGCUAACUCCGUGCCAGCAGCCGCGGUAAUACGGAGGGUGCGAGCGUUAAUCGGAAUUACUGGGCGUAAAGCGCGCGUAGGUGGCUUGAUAAGCCGGUUGUGAAAGCCCCGGGCUCAACCCGGGAACGGCAUCCGGAACUGUCAAGCUAGAGUGCAGGAGAGGAAGGUAGAAUUCCCGGUGUAGCGGUGAAAUGCGUAGAGAUCGGGAGGAAUACCAGUGGCGAAGGCGGCCUUCUGGACUGACACUGACACUGAGGUGCGAAAGCGUGGGUAGCAAACAGGAUUAGAUACCCGAGUAGUC